RNAcentral lists this ribosomal RNA (395 nucleotides) under uncultured bacterium. RNAcentral's name for it is "bacterial SSU rRNA". It matches the Rfam family "Bacterial small subunit ribosomal RNA", at positions 29 to 412 of the family's 1533-position model. The record is from RNAcentral.
AGCGAACGCUGGCGGCGUGCUUAACACAUGCAAGUCGAACGUGAAAUGUAGCAAUACAGAGUAAAGUGGCGUACGGGUGAGUAACACGUGGGUAAUCUACCAAAGUGUCUGGAAUAACCGAUCGAAAGGUUGGCUAAUACUGGAUAGUUCAAGCUUGUUAUAAUGGCAAGAUUGGGAAAGGGAGCUGGCAACAGCCUUCGCAUUUUGAUGAGCUCGCGUCUGAUUAGUUAGUUGGUAAGGUAAUGGCUUACCAAGACGAAGAUCAGUAGCUGGUCUGAGAGGAUGAUCAGCCACACUGGAACUGAAACACGGUCCAGACUCCUACGGGAGGCAGCAGUGGGGAAUCUUGCGCAAUGGACGAAAGUCUGACGCAGCCACGCCGCGUGAGUGAAGAA